Molecule: non-coding RNA, 899 nt
Organism: Bactrocera oleae (olive fruit fly)
Lineage: Eukaryota; Metazoa; Arthropoda; Insecta; Diptera; Tephritidae
Source: RefSeq, a predicted model, not a curated record
UUGACCCACUUAAACGUUUUAAAAUCAGCGUUUUAUAUCAGAGAAAUGUAAUGGCUGAUUGCAUUAAUUUUGACAUUGUUCAGAUUUAUUUCAGACCUUAUUUUCAAGAAAUUGUAUCUAAUAUAUCUCGUGUCACGGUGUUUGCAGCCAAACUUCCCCGAAAUGGCUGUGCCGAGUUUGAUGAAAAUUGGUGUGCUUAUCUGAUUUAUUUCAGACCUUAUUUUCAAGAAAUUGUAUCUAAUAUAUCUCGUGUCACGGUGUUUGCAGCCAAACUUCACCGAAAUGGCUGUGCCGAGUUUGAUGAAAAUUGGUGUGCUUAUCUGGUGGGUAUGAGAAUCGGCCAAAAUCUAUUUUUUUACCUCUAUUAUUAUCAUAAUUUUAUUUUUUGGACAAAAUUUUUUGGUUUUAUUUCUACAUGAUUCAAAUCGAAAAAUAUAUGCGAAAUUUUCGUCCUUAUACGAUCAACUCCAGAGUUGAUUCAAGUAGUGGUACAUUUUUCAAUAGCCAUUUUUUGACAGAACAUGCGUGAGCCGUGUCAAGGUGUCAUGUUAUUUGUUAUUUUUGUUCAGUAUUGUUUGACAUUUCUGUAAAGAUUGUGUGUUCGCGCGCUUAGCGUACUAUUCGCAACACCAUCACCCAUCUUGAGACCCAGCAUUCAUUAUUGGACUACGUCUAGUACGAAGUGAAGAAAAUGAAGCGGCCUUAGCUGAGAGUGUACACGAAGACCGUUGGGAGUCGAUUCGGCGCCGUUCGCAGCAACUCGGACUGACGUAUGAAACGACAUUUUAAGUCGAGAUCUUAAAUUGAAAGCGUACAAAAUACAGCUGUUGAAAGAACUGAAGUCGCUCGACCUACCCAAGCGACAACGCUUUAUGGGCUCUUUUCUGGCUCAAUGGGCA